GAUGAACGCUAGCGGCAGGCUUAAUACAUGCAAGUCAAGGGGGUAGCAAUACAACCGGCGCACGGGUGAGUAACGCGUACACAACAUGCCAUAUACUGGGGUAUAGCUUUGGGAAACUGAAGGUAAUCCCCCAUAACAUUGCGAGAGGGCAUCUGAUUGCAAUUAAAGUUUCGGCGGUAUAUGAUUGGUGUGCGUUUGAUUAGCUAGUUGGUAGGGUAACGGCCUACCAAGGCGACGAUCAAUAGCUGGCGUGAGAGCGCGACCAGCCACACUGGAACUGAGACACGGUCCAGACUCCUACGGGAGGCAGCAGUAGGGAAUAUUGGACAAUGGAGGAAACUCUGAUCCAGCCAUGCCGCGUGAUAGAUGAAGGCCCUCUGGGUUGUAAAUAUCUUUUAUCUGGGAAGAAACAAUCUUAUUCUUAAGAUCUUGACGGUACCAGAGGAAUAAGCACCGGCUAACUCCGUGCCAGCAGCCGCGGUAAU
Molecule: ribosomal RNA, 485 nt
Filed under: uncultured bacterium
Lineage: Bacteria
Description: bacterial SSU rRNA
Rfam family: Bacterial small subunit ribosomal RNA
Source: RNAcentral